GCCGAUGUAGCUCAACGGGAGAGCAGUUGCAUGGUAGGCAACCGAUGAGCGUUCGAAUCGCUCCAUUGGCUCCA
RNAcentral lists this transfer RNA (74 nucleotides) under Acidobacteriota bacterium. RNAcentral's name for it is "Acidobacteria bacterium tRNA-Thr". It matches the Rfam family "tRNA". Rfam says of the family: Transfer RNA (tRNA) molecules are approximately 80 nucleotides in length. RNAcentral also lists the same sequence under 1 other name. The record is from RNAcentral. Lineage: Bacteria; Pseudomonadati; Acidobacteriota.